CAUGAGGAAAGAGAGCUGAUUCCCAAUGCAGCUGCCUCAUUGGAGAAUCCACAACCCCAAGACCCUUUACACCUGCAUCAAAUUCCUUUGCAACACCCAACCAUUUCCCAUUUUUGGAGAAACUGAUGGAAGCCAAAGGUUUAGUUUCAAGAUUUACAGCACAUACAAUUGUAUCCCCAACCCCAAACUUUUCACCAUAAUUUGAAAAUUUUCCAGCAACUGAAAAUUUUCCUGUGCCACCAAACCCAAAGCUGUGCUCUGUUUCCCCAAGGUUUCCCACUGCAUCAUCUCCUCUUGAAAUGCCAAGCCGACAAACAUGCUGCUGGUCAGGAGGGGUGUCUUCCAUAUCCACUGGCUGAGUUGAAAUAAUUUUGCAACCAAAACAAUACUUCCCUCCAGUUAUUCCAACAUUACCACGAGCACCAGACCAGCAAUAAGCAAAUCCAUGGUCAUGAAGUGCAGAACCUUGAAGACCAUCACCAACAAUAUUGAAAUCUGGUGACAGGGUAACAGUUCAAUCAAACAUAUGAUACUUGCAAAAUGAAAAACAAUUUUAGAAGUUAACUGCACAUGCACAAACACAAAAGACAGAGCCCAAGCCACGGCCAUUUAGCCCUAGGGUGGGACGCCUUUAUGUUUCUAUUUUAAGAAUGGAAGGGUGUUCCUUUCUCUUCUCUCCCUUCUUUUCAAUAUUAAUAUGGUCCUUGAUGAUGCCAUAGUUUAUGUGGACGGGAAACAGGGGAGUCACCCGAUUGAAUUGAAAAAGCCUGGGUUAGGAAACACAUUCCUUUCCUAUCCCUCUCUCUCUCCCCCACACCCCCCAACCCACUUAAUCUCUCUCUCUCUCUCUCUCUUUCUCCCCUUAAUGAAUCAAAACCAUAGCAAACCUAGUGCUUUCCUCCAAUCUUGCGCUACAAAACACACUCCUUUCUAGUCUCUCUCUCUCUCUCUCUCUCUCUUCUUUAAUGAAUCAAAACCAAAGCAAAAAUUUGAUUUCCUCCAAUCUAUGCCUAAGAGGCAACGUAAACAGCCACUUCUUUACACUCUUUUCUUCUCAUUUCUGCAUUUUCUUUCAAUUUUAUUUUUGCAAACAGAGAAACUAAGGCCCGGAAAAAGCUACAUAUUGCUCGAUCAAGUUAAACUGAACGGAGCAAGAAUUAUUAAUCUCAAUGAAACCCUUUGAAAUUCACAACACAACAGGAGCAGGCAGUGAUAGGCGCGCAGCACAUUAUCAGAAUAUACCAAUAAUUAAUUAUCUCAUGGAAAAUACCAAAAUGAUAGUGACGGACUAUAUAACAUCAAGAAUUCAUGCGAUUACAAGGAAAGAAACGCGAAAUUAUCGGAAACGUGGAAAUGAAAUUUGAAACUAGGGUUUGAUAAAAAUUCAAAAAGUAAAGAAGAAUGAUGAAUGGAAGAAGGGGUUCUGAAUACCUAAAUCGCAGUCUGCGGGAUUGAGCACCACGCGUUGCUUGGUCUUGUGUUCGGGAGAAUCCGAUAAGGCUGCCUUCGGCUUCUUCGACUCGGGUUCUUCUGGUUCUGAAAGCUGGCGUUUGAUCGACGCCAUUGAAAAAUAACUGAAGCGAAAGAGGCAGGAUAGCUGAAACGUUUGUGCUGGUGUUGGGGUUUAUACAGGGAACUGUUAUGAUCGCAGAAAUUUGGAGAGGAAGGACGACAAGCACAAAUUUAAGGUAGAGAUCCGACCCGAAUCGAGCAUAGCCCAAAUUCACCAGAGUUUAAUGACUUGGGCUGCGGUUGGCUCUCAACCCAAAAUUGACUAUACAGAAUUGUGAUUAAUCAAAUGUAGUAAAGUAGACCCGGGCCAACCCACCGAGUUGCAACCCUACUCAAUCAAUACACAAAUUCAAAAUUCAAAAGGAAAUAAAUGAGGGUGAAAAUAAAGAUAAAAAUAAAAUAUAAAAUAAUAAAAAAGAAUAAAACAAGAUGAAAUAGAAUAAAAUAAAAUGAAUAAAAAUAAAAAUAAAAAUGGAAAUGUAUGGGCUAAGAGUAACACGGACUAAAUUGUAUUGGGCCUAGAGUGUAUGGGUCUAAAUUGGGCCAAGAUGGAAUAUGAACAUGGCCAAGGUGACUGUCAUGUGAGGGGUAAACCUACAUGAUAACGGCUAAGAAAAAUUUGGGGUCUAUAAGUUCCAAAUUUGGGCCGGCCCAGGAUCGGUCCAUUAUCACCUGACCGUUGCUAAAACCCUGCAUUCAGGGGUUUGCCUUGUAGCGCAGGAAGCCACGAUCUCUGUCCUACAUAAGCCUUCAAUCGUUCCGUCUGCGCUACGAUCGAUCUCCGAGUUCAAGUAAUGCUGCAAUAUCCUAUCCCAAUUCAAUCAAUUGACAUAUCUGUAAGAUGCAAUCGUUUGAAUGAUGAGAAAAACAUAUAUGGAGGAUACAAUCGUUUGAAUGAUGAGAAAAUAAUGAGGGAAAUGAAAAGAGAAUUUUAAUUGUGAAAUUUCACCAUCUAGGUAUCCACCGCUGGUGGAUACAGAAAACCCAUGUGACUCUUUUGGCUUAGUUGACUUGAGUUUUAGAUUUUAUUUUUUAAUUUUUAUGUUUCGUUUGUUUUGGAUUUUUGGCAAAAGAAAGUGACAGCGAUAUAACUUAGGAAUCAAAAUGUGGUUUUCUUUUGUUUUUCUUCAUUUUCUUGGUAACCAAAUAGAGGGUCGGAUCCUGCUCUGAGUGCUUUAUGGCUUGGGAAUGAUGCUGAUGGAAAAUUUGAGUUUUAUGGCUUCUCUUUGAACAGCCGUGGAACUGUUGCAAUUUUGGAUUACAGCUGUAACUGAAAUUUUUGUUAGAUUGUCGGUCUUUUCUAUUUGGGAAUGUUUUCUUGUACAAAAAUCAUUUUAGUUUAGAUGCAGGGAAAAUAUGAGAAGAGUAAGUAAAUUUUUGAAUUGUAAAAUUUUCCCCAGAAAUGAUUCGGGUGUUUGGCUUGGUUGAUCUGUGUGUGUGUUUUGUGGGAAACCAAAGAUGAGGCAUAGGAAGGAUAGUGUUGUUUUCUUUUAUUGCUCUGUUUUCUUGAAAACCUAACAGAGAGCAAGGAUUUCUCUUUUAAUGCGUUGGACUUGUCUUUCCCAAACAUUCAGUUAUUAGGAUUUCCAGAGGGAUAAUGGGGAUCACCCCAUCUCAUACUUCAUACUGCCCCUGUUAAAAUGCCAUGAAAGACUUAACAGAAUCACCAAUUUUCAUUACAAUAAAUAAUUCUUCUUCUACAAAAUUACCACACCUUGCUUACAUUCAUAUUUGGUGCAUGAUUCAGCUACUGCAGGUGGGUUAGUAGAGAAUAACAAACAAAGAUAGUUACAAAUAAAACUCAAAUCCAAAUGAAUGCUUAAAUUCUAUAAAUUGGCAUUUCACACCUAAAUAUGUUUAAAUCUUGAUGAAUGAAAGCUGAUCAACUGACUGACAAACAACUUAACAGCAUGUGCAACGAAGCAGGUCUCUGUGCAUCUGCUCAUACCUGAGCCGGUGAUCACUGGUACAAAAUAAAAGAGAGAGAGACGUGAUGAGUGCAAGCAUGAAGUUUAUAGCUACUUUAGUUAGUAAUCCACAAAACAUGUAUUUGAUUGAGAUUAGGGCCAGAGGAAACCAAAUUCAGUAAUGCAUAGAGGUCAUGCACACUAACAGGGUGCACCUACUAGAAAAAUAGUGAACGGACACUUGUCUGAGGAAAACAUUCCGAACCUAAUGUAUUAAGCUCAACUCAAUGGCUAUGUGCAUAGAAUUCCCCAAAUAUCAAUUGUGGAUGAAUUAUUUUUCUGAUCUUUGAUUUUUAAUCUCACAACGAUCCAACUGUUUCCAAAUUAGCAUAUAAAUCUUGCAUGCAUAAGGGCUUAUGUUGGUUAUCAAUUGUUUUCAUCAUUGGCAUUGUUCUAACUAGUUGGGGGUUGGCAGCAAAGCAAACAAUCACACGAGAAGGAUUAUGUGGUUAGAUGGUAUUCUUAUAUCCAACUAGGAGAAUGAUAAGGGUUUCAAUCAUACUCUUGCCUAAGCUCUGAGCUCAAAGCCAUUAUUCCAAUUGCAUACCUGUUAUUGCUUUCUGUAAAAUACUUUUAACAUAAAUGCAAAAACGGCCUCAAAUACCAAAAUGUCCCUUGCCACCAUAGUGACUCUCUCCGGUACAGGGGUGGAUAGGUCACAGAGCUGGGUACAGGCACAAACUAAAUUCCUGUGUAUGGUAGUGAUAGAUCAAGUAAAAGUGAUAUCAAGAAGGUCUAGAAUGGCCAGACCACCUUGAAUACAAAUGCUCAGCCCCUGUAAGCUACUUCCAUAGCUCUCCAUUCCUCCACCAAUCAAAGCAAGAAUCUCUUCAUUUUAAAAGAACUUUAAGAAUGUUACUUCAUGGCUGCCACCACUGUAUUUUAUUUUUUGAAGCAUGGCUGGUCUUGGAAUUCUUUCACAUGACCUUCUAGUUGUCUAAGAGGCUCUACUUACAAAUAGAUCCUCCCUUAUCAACCUUCAUGACCUUCUCUGCCCUUGAAAAGGUUUUAAUAUCAACUUGUAGAAGAUAAGAACUCCCUGACAAACAACAUGACCUGACACCCAUUUCUUUCCCUUUUAGAGUUAUUUUUUAUUAUAGUUAAUCAGCGUUCUCAGCUACGCUUUCAUGAAAUACUUAUGAAUCAAAGCUCAAAGAAGACUCUCAUUUAUCACAUCUGUAGAACACAUUAAUGGUGCCCGCACCAUCUGAAACUAAAACAAAAUUGGAGUAUGACCUAGUUCAUCUAAAAUUAAUGUAGUUCAGAAAAAUAGGGCCUCUAUUGCUUCUUUGAUGUAAGACUACAGAGUGGAAACUCAUUAGAAGCACCAUCACUCCUCAAAUUAAACAUUAUGUUCCCCUAAUAAAAUAGCCAUAGAUUAGCUAAAACAAUAAUAAGAAGAAAAGCAUACUGGUCUUCUUUAAGAACUAUUUCAAAACAAAAUAUCCACUGCUCAAAGGUGAAAACUGUGAUUAACAGAAUGACAAGAAAUCUAAUGAAAAAAUAAACAGCCAUAACUAUUGUGUUGAAUUUUGCUUCCUAGACUACCAUUUCCUUCCCCUUCCAACAUCAUAAAUGCCUAAAAGGAUUUAUAUCCAUCAUGAAUAUCUUUCUUGGCGUCUUAACAAAGGCACUUCUUGUCAGAUGAGGCUAUAAGCAUAGAAUAAACCACUGAUUUCGAUUAGAAUUUUAAUUAGCAAGUUAACUUGGAGGUGUUUAUCAUAUCACAAAUUAAAUAUGGGCAUUAGGGCUAGGUUCUGUAAGAUACAGAGUUGUCAUGAUCUGAGCAUCCUUCAGCUAAUAACAAGUUUCCAUCUGAUGUAGCGUAUCAGUAUCUCUGAAGCAGUAGGUGAAUUCUAAAGCUAGAAAUUAACCUUGUAAGUAAGAAUCCCAUCUGCUAAAGUAAAAUGUAUUUUUCAUCAAGAAAGGUAAUGUAAUACUGUUGCAAACAAGCAGAUAUUUCAAUUUUUUUGAUAGGCACAUUAGACAAGUAGAUAAGCGACUCUCUAACCAACACAGCAAAGAGGAGUGAUAUGCCAACUAUUCAUGGUCACAGACAAAUUCUAAACAAAUGAUGCAAAAUGGUUAUUUGUCGCCUUAUAAAGCUAGCAGAAAGAAAGUAUUUCUGACCUUUUAAAGCCACUGUGUUGGAUGAUAGAACAAAUACAUCAAUGAUGAAAAUCACAGAGGAUGGCAAUUCCCACACCUGCACAAUACAUAUACAAAGUUAGAGGAGGGAACUGUCAAAUAUGCUUCCACCAUUAAACUAUUACUGUUAACCCAGGGACAUUAAGAAACCAUACCAUCAUGGCAAUAAGAAAAAUCUUGAAGUAACUAGAAAUGAGGAUUGCUAGCAAAAGGUUUUUGUACCUGUACAGUUUUAAGAAGAAUGAGCCAUAUCGGCAAUGCCCCUUUUUUAAUUCACUUUGAAUAAGAGAACGACAAAUGGAUAACUUUAUAAAGAGAAGCCAAUGUCAAUCAGCUCAAGCUCAAUAAAGGCUUAUUAACUUCCUAUGGGCAGCACAGAUAUACUACCGUACCAUCUGCUCUAAAACCCUUGUUAAGUACACUUGAAUGUGUUUUUUCACAAUUCAUGAUCUUUUAUGCCUUACUUGUCCUUCAUCACCUUCAACUUGGACCAAGUCACCAUCUUUGCUGUUGUGAUGAAUGGUCUGCAUAUGAAAAGACCAUCACAGGCUCACAGCUUACCUUUCUUGAACUUGUUCUCAUUUUUUGCAGAGCGCUCAACAUUCUGUGCCAUCAAGCACAGAAGGCCUCACCUGGGUUAUAGAAUUUUUCCUUUAAUUUGACAUCAAAGUAAUCAUCAAUCAUGAAGCAGUCCAGUAGCACUUACCCGCUUCAUCCAUCACACCUUGCCAAGUGCACAACUUGAACCAAAGUGCUCCUCACCAGUAUAAUCAUUGAGCUGCUAUGCAUAUGAUCAGACUAUCAUAGCUAACCUUUUCUCAUCUUGUCUGCAUUUCAUUACACUCAUUUUUAUGUAGGCCCAAAUGCCUGGAUAGCUUAAUGGGCUCAUUCUUAUGAAGUUUCUUUAAAUUUGAUUUAGUAGGACUUCAUUGACUUACAAAAAAAUUUUAACCAUCAGUGUUUGGUAUUUGUUUCUUUGAUCAAAAUAAAGAAGAAAAGCUCAUGGAUAAACCCCAUUCGUCUUCACUCCUUGUUAAAACCAGUAUCCUGUCUUAGAUGAUAAGGCUCUGUCUGUAUAUAUUUUGCAAUGAAUUUAAAGAACUGCAGGAUGCUCCUAAAGACAAAAUAAAAUGGCAGAUUGAUGAAAUGGAUACAUGCAUUCAAAAGAAGAAAACCCAAAGCAGACUUCCACAAUAAACCCUGCAAUAACAGUUGGAAAGUGAGUUUACCACAACAAAGAAUCCGCUUUUAUCGAACACCCACAAGCAAUCCAGAAAGGAAGGUGGGAAUUUCACUGAAGUGAAUGGAAAAGUAAGGGGGAAAAAUAAGUGGAUUAUACCUGGAAAUUGAGGGUUUGCGGAUUGAGCAAAUUGAAGAGAAGAUGCCUAUAUGCUUUUGGCUUGUGAAGAAUCAAAUCAAUAAGAAUAAUCUAUGGCAAAAAGGAUAAUGAUCUAUUGAUCAUUGAUAUAUAUAUAUAUUGAGAUAAAGGUUUUGAAGGGUUUCUCGAUUAUCUCACUAAAAUUCAAACUUCACCUGUAGCAAAACCAACAUGAAGCAACCUUUUUAAUUAAUAUGAGUAUUGAGCUAAGUUGGUAAUUUCAUACAAAAAUUCCUAAGUAUCUAUUAACUUGGUUUUACUUUUUUAAUUUUUUUUUAUCAUUUUUCAAAGUACUUGCUUAAUAAAGAUCAAGAUGUUAAAAAUGCUUAGGGGUUAAGGUAUAUAAUUGAGGGUGUGGGUGAAUAUGAAUCAAUCUAGUUUUCAAAUUGCUAUUUUUUUCUUAAACUAUCUUUUAAGAGAGUUGAGGAGGCCAAGAAAACAAUUUUUUUUACCAAGGGUUUUUGUGCCUUGCUCUAGGAUCGAUUCAAUUAGGUAAAAUCAAUCCAUCUUUUGUUGAAUUUUGCUUUAACUAUUGAAUCAAAGAUUCUCUAUUAUAUUUAACUUAAAUGGUUUCGUAAGGAAUAACAAUAAUUGUUUUUCACUCCCUUUGAGCUCUCUUUUCAAUCCAAAUUAAGAGUGUUUUGAGAAAAUUCUUUUCUAUCUUGAUUUUCAAAUCAUUUUUCAAUUGGAUUUUCUAAAAAAAAAAAAAAAAGGGGCAAAACAAUGGGUUGAUUUAUUUAUUCCAUUCAUCUCUCAUGUUCUUCUUGAUUUAGGUUUGAGAGAAAACUCUUUUUUUUCUUGUACAAAUUCAAGAAGAGAUAGAGAUGAAGUUUGGGGUGGACUCCAAUUGUGCUUAAAAAAAAAAGGUAUUAAGCCAAAGUUGGAAAAUACUAGUCAAGUAGUUCGGAAGGAUAAAUAAAUUUAAGAUAAGGUAAAACUUUACUCGGUUAUUUAGUGGAAGUUUUUUUAUUGUUAAUAAGUUCAAUAUUUUUCAUCUUUUAAAAGAUUUUCCACAUAAAAAUUUGAUAUUAUUAUCUUUCUUAUUCUUUUCUUUUGUUCGUUUCCAUUUAUAGAUCUCAAUUUCAUGCUUGGGCAUAUAUGUUGGAUAAGUGAAAAAUGAGUUGAAAUGAGUUCGAUUAUCCUUUGAAAAUUUUGAAUAAUUAGUCAUUCAAUUUGAUUAUGAUAUCAAGUAGUAAUUAGAAAUAUGUUAAAGAGUUAAUUGUUAUGAAUAUAGGUCGGGGAAUGAUGAUAUCCUUGCAUGUGAAUUACAUUUAUAAAUUAUUAGGAAAGUGUUAUUAUAUUUACACUUUGGUGUAGUCCAUAAUUGCGAUUAACCUUUAUUGUAAAUUACAACCUAUUAACUCUUGAAGGGUCUUUUAGCCUUUGAACACUCAUAUUAAUUUAUUUUAAAUCUUUUCCCAUUUAAGUAUGGAAUGUUAAUUUUUUCUUCUAUUUUAUCCCAUUAUCAAAUUUGAUAAUUAAGCCAAACAUUCAUUUUGGGAAUAAUACAAUUUCCCCUACUUUCUUUUUUUUUUUUUUUUUUGGAAAAUUAUCUCUAUUUACUUCAAAUGUCUUUCCAUGUAGGUGUAAAAUGUCAAACUUUUUCUUCUAUUUCACCUUCAAAUAUAUUCAAACUCCAUUAUUAUAUUGAUUUUUUAGCUUAAGUAAUAAAUUUGGGAAUAAUACAACUUCUACAAAUUUAAGUUUCUAUUUUCUUACCAUCUAAACAAAAUGCACAACUCUACAAAAAUUUCCCUCCUAGUAUAACAAAAUCUCCUUUUUUUUAACCACUCAAUCUUUCAUUCAUAGAUUGAUAAACUUUCAAAUAAUCUAUACUCAUUACAAAUUUUCCUUACCCAUUCAUUGCCCAUACAACUCAAAACAAAUUCAAUCAAGCUUGCCCCCAAAUUUCCCUCCUAGUAUAACAAAAUCUCCUUUUUUUUAACCACUCAAUCUUUCAUUCAUAUAUAGAUAAACUUUCAAAUAAUCUAUACUCAUUACAAAUUUUCCAUACCCAUUCAUUGCCCAUACAACUCAAAACAAAUUCAUUGCCCCCAAAUGGUUUUACUUUAUGGAUUUGUUGUGAGCAUGGUUGAAAUGACUUCUUCAACACUCUCUCCACCCUCUUUUUUAAGUGCUCUUUCAAUGGUCUUUUAUAUAAAUAAGAUAGCAAAAUACUAAGAUGUUUUUAUAAAAAUGGCAUAUUGGUCAUUUGAGUCAAUAAGUUAGAGCAAUCUCCUUUUUGAGAUUAAGUUUAAUGGGGUCUUAUUAUGCAAAGUUUUCCUUUUUUUUUAAGUCUCUUUUUGGGAUCUAAGUCUAGUGCAGUCUCUUUUAACAAAACUUUUCCAUAAUUUUUAUUACUUUUAAAAUAUACCUUUUAUUUGUAAUGGGCCAUUGGAGAAGCUAUGAGAUUGUGAUUUAGAGCUUAUACAGAAGGCAAGAGAGGAAGAAAAGACCACAAAACAGGUGUGAGUGAACAUACAAUUAUGCCCAAGAAAGUAAAACAUGGUUCAAGUAGUUUUGAAAAUAUUUACUUCACUAGCAUAUUUCUAUCAUGCAAUUAUCAAAAACCGUAUACAAAAGAGUUUUCGCUUUGGUUGAGAAAAGAGAAUUCCAUGUGGCAUCACAGUAGACAUAUAUAUUAUACAAUAAUCAAUUCCUUUGUGCAUCUCUUACUUCAUGUUGAUCAUCUAAGAUUCAGUCUGAUGAUGGCUUUUCAUAUUCUACACAGAAUGGAACCACAGCGCCAAUAAAGAAAAUACAAAAUGAUUGGAAGGUUCAUUUUUAUAUACAAAAAUGGUAUGCAAUAAUGGAUUGCACACGAACUUUAUCAAAAGAGAAGAGCCAGAGAAGUUGCUCUUCAACAGAAUAUCUCUGGAAUACAUUUACUUACAGAUAGAUGAAAACAAGGCAACCCAACUUCAAUGCAAUGGUUGAAGACGGGGUGAGUAGUAAAGAUUUGUUGACAUGUACAAGCAAAAUGAAGACGUGAUACCCACAUCACAUCCUAUCAUACAACAAUUCAUUUACACAGCCCUCGUGUCUCUGUUCAGCAUUCACUCUUCAUCUGAUGAGAACAGCGCUAUCGCGAUGCCGGAUAACCUUCUUCCCCUCAGUCGAGACCUAAAAUGCCUCGACUGCUUAGGUGCAUCUGGGGUUUGAAGGUCAUCGAAACCACUGGAUUCUUCUGGAUCGAGGGGGCUUCGAAAAGUUUGUACCUUUGAAGGAGUACUAAAUGCGAAAUGCGACUUCUUUGCUAUCAAAGUCUGUUGAUUGCAAACAGAAAUUGGGUUCAAAUACGGAUCGAAACAAGAACAAAUCAAACCAAACGAAUUUUUCAAAAUAUGGGGAACUUACUGCGUCUCUGAUUGUGUUUGAUACAUGGAAAAGCUGCUUCAAAUCAUCAUGAUCCACACCACACAAUAUCCUAAUCUGCAGAAAGGAAAUCCUAUGAUUAAUAAAAAAUCAUUCAAUCAAAUCUAAAACAUCAAUAGAAGGUAAAUUAAUAAAAAAUUGAUUCAAUCAAAUCUAAAAAUAUCAAUAGAAGUUAAAUUCAUAAAUCUGCUACCUACCAAAAUAUCCUGAGGCAUAGCUUCAAGCAUCGACUUUUCUGCUUUCUCCUCCACCAUUUCGCCGCAUCUCCUCUUCAAUGGAGUCCUGAGAACAGAACUCGGAGAUGAAGAUUCUGUGUUACUCGAAACCAGAAUUCUCUUUCUACUCAAUGACCGCGUGACUGGAACAAACCCUAACCCUAAUUCUUCAUCACCACCCUUCAUCUGUGAUCCAUGUCUCCUCCCUAAUGCCAUUUCUUCACCGAUUCGAAUAAAAAACCAGCGUCCCAAACUCCCGAAUCCAAAAAAUUUCAGAAUGAAUCUCAACCGAACUGAGAAUCCGUGGCACGAUUGGUAAUUAUUUUGAGAGACACAAACCUGGAUUUUCGCUUGGAUCAACACCAAAUUUCAGGCUACUGCUGUUGAAAACACUCUGUGAAAACGGAAACAACCAGUCUUCUAACCGCAACUUUCCGCUCGUUAAUAUGUUACCCUAUAUAUGUUUUUGUUUUUAGGAAAAAUUGUGAAUAAAAAGUUGAAGUAUAAGCAAACCCUGGUCCCUGUGAGCACUUUCUCGAUUUCUCUAGGUUAAAGAUAUAUUUGAGGCGGUUAAAACUAGCCGUUGCAGGGUUACACGUGUCAGGAUAUGAGCCGUGGUGGGAAAGAACGUGGAUGCUGCGAUGCGGACGUGGAAGAUGUGGUCGGUCCAAGUCGGCUGGUGUCGGUUCCUUAUCUAACACGUUUCUGUUGGACACGGCGGUGUGGGCAAUUGUGGAGCGCACACGUGGCGAUGAUUAUAUGGAGACCGUGUCACGGUGACAGCUGUUUAGCGCCAGAGGAUCGUUGUGUGGAUAUCUGACGGUGGGAACGCGGGGAGAAGGCAGGGGUGGGGAGUAGGUGAUAAUUUGGCCAAUGGUUUUAUUUGACCGGGCUUCUAAAUAGGCGGCUGGCGACUUCGGAUUGGAAUUCCAUAUUAGGCCAACUAAAUGAUGAGUCAACAACGCGUCAAGACCUCAACCUUUACCAUCGAUUGGGCCCACAACAGGAAUGAAUUCGGGUUCCUUCUUGGUGAAGAACCCGAGAAGAGUCCGGGAUCCAAAGACGGAAAAAUAUCAUCACUUGGUUAGAGCAAACCUAACCCUCAUAAUAUGAACGUGUUUUUUAAGGCAGUUUUUUUUGUUAUCUAGAAAAAACAGAACGUGGAAAAAUAUAUUUAAUACCUAAAAAAUAGAAAAUAACUUUAUAUUCGUAAAAACAGAAAUUAUUUUCAUAAAUAUUUUUAAUUAUUUUAAGUUACUUUUACUUAUUUUCUAAGAUUUAUUUUUAAAAAUAAUUAUUAAAAAUAAGACAUUACAUAUAAAAUUUCUUUUUAAAAAAUACAAAUAAAAAAUAAAAAAUAUUUUAAGUUUUUAAACAUUUUAUAAAAUAUUAUAAAACAAUUCUCAAAAAUUGUUUUUUAAGUUAUUCUUAAAAAUAUUUUCCAAAGUAAAUGAAGCUUUUUUUUUUUUUUCUUCCUUUUUAUCCCAUCAUUUCAUCAUAAAUUUUAAUUAUUCCCUUAGUGACAAACUAUUUGUGUCAACAUCUUGUAAGUUAUAAACAUCAAACUACUUUCAACUGGUCGUCUUUCCAUCACUCCUCUAAUAUUAAUAUUUACUUUCCACGUAUCCUUUCCUUCGCACAACAGCCGGUUCGUCCUUAAUUUCAUUAUUUUAAUCCCACAACUUUUGCUAUCUUAUAAAGCUCAAUCACCAAACCUCUGGAUCUCAAAGUCUCAUGUUUGGUCUAACCUUGUAUCAGUUCUUUCACAGCCCUCAUGUUUACUUUCUACCCGUACCCUCCGUACCCAGAGCUUUCUCCUCUCUUUGCAUCAUAAUUUUCAAAUUCUGAAAGCUGUUGGUCUCGUUCCCAACUGGAGUGAGGGAAGCCCCCACCAAAGCUACGUUCCAAAAAAAGAGUGCAAGUGGCCGGAUUCAACCAACCUAAAUUCACCACGGAUGUAGAUAAUCAUUUUGAAUAUUUGAGUGGGGUUAUAUAAUAUUUAUAAUACAUAUUAACAGUUAUAUAUAUAUUUUUUUUUAAUUUAAAAAAUAUCAAAUAUAUUAUAUCAUAUGCUUUUUUCUAUUUUUAAAAAAAUAUAUAAUUUUUUUUAUUGCUAUCUUAAAAUUUUGAAAAUUUUCAUAUAAAUAUAAAAAAAAAGUUUUUAAAAGAUAUUAUAAAUGAAUUUUGAAUUAUGCAAAUGUGAUAAGCUUGACCAACUCAAGUCUAUCUCAAUCAAUUCAAAUAUAACCAUUUAAUUUGAAAUUAGAUAAAUGAGGUUAAGUUGAGUAUUUUGAAUUAAAGAUUGGAUUAGGUUGAGGUUGAAUUUGUUAUUUUUUUUAAUUCAGAUUGAGUUUGAAUUAAUAAUGCACGUGAUAUAAAUGAAAAUCCACUUUUAUUAAGAUUUUAACUUUUUUUUUUCUUAUAUGAAACAGUGAUUCACUUUUUUUCUCAUAAGAAUCAAAAAUAAUUUUCAACAUUUAUUUUUGUUGCAAGUUCUUUAAAAAGGAAAAUAGUAAUAAAUUAUACAAUAAAUAUAAGAAUUUUUUAAAUGUUUAUAUUAAAAAUAUAAUAAUUUUUAAAAAUUAAUUAAAUUUUUAUGAUAUUAAAUUUUUAUUAUUAUUUUAAAAGCCUUUUUAAGAAUACAAAGCAAAUCUAAUUUUUUAUAAGAGUUUUUAUAUUUUAUAUGAAGUUUUUUUAUAAAAAAUAAAAAAAUAAAAACAAUGUCUGAACCACAUGACAUGCCUUCUCCAUAUUCAUAUUGACAUACCUUAUAUUUCUCACUAGAUGACCUUAACAUUGAAUUGAAGUUUGACAACCUGAAUCCUUUACUUCUUACUGUCCUAUCAAGAUUUCUAGGUCAAAUGUUAAUUUUAGGAUAUAAUAAUAAUGUUUUGUUUAAAUUUUUAGGACUUUUUCUCUAUGAGCCAAAUAAAGUUUUUAAUUAUGUUUUUAUUCCACUUAGGAUUUUAGUAUUUUUCAUACAAAGGAAACAACAAUUUUUAGAAAAUUAGAAAAUUUUUGCUAAUUUUUUUUCCUUAAAAGGUUCUAUCAUAAAAGCGUUGACCCUCGAGUGCCUUCCAUGGUGGCGCUUAAGCACCCUUGGACCUCGAACUACUUUUGAUCUCCGGUCCACAACCCAAAAAUUCCUCUUCUAGUCACUUCCGACAUGUGCUUACCACCAAAGCUACUUUUUCUCUUCUUUUAACCUCACCUUUGAAUUACUUUAACACAAACUACUUUCGAUUCCAAUUGGACACAAUUACUUAAAUGUGUUUUCGUCCUCAUACCAUAUUCGUUUGAUCUCAUUUAAUCUUUCUUAUAAGUAAACUUCAAUCUCUUUUUAUGAAUGCUUUUGAAUUUAUUUAAUUGUGUGAUUUAAAAAUGGUUUUCUGUUUGUAUGAUUUAAAAACAGUUUUUUGUUUUUAAAAAUAUAAAAUUAUUUUUAAAUUUUUUUAACAUUAUUUUAUUGUUGUUUAAAAAAGUAAUUUUUAAAAAUAAAGUGAAAUAUAAAAUAAUUUUUAAAGAACAAGUAUGAGUUAUUUUCAUCAAUUUUUAAAAAUAAAAAACAAACAUGAGUUGGUUUAACAUGUUUUCUAAAACUUGGUUUUAAAAAUUAUUUUUAAGUUAAAGAAUAAAAAAUAAUUUUUGAAAACAAAUUUUAGAAAACAUAGUCAAACCAACCCUAAAUAUUCAAUACAUUUUUAUUUUUAUUUUCCCAGUUUUAUUGGUUUAGUUUUUUUUGAAUUAUUUUAUAUUUAUCUUUCACAUGACUUUUUUUUUUUUUUUUUUUUACAAAGAAAACUAGUAAUUAUGCAUAUUCAUUUAAAAAUUACAUACAUGUUGAUAUAAAAAAUAUCUUUAUUAAAAAAAAUAGAGGAUAAUACCAUAUUUAAAUCAUUUGUUUUAUCUAACAUAGAUAUUAUUAGGUUUGAAAUUAGGUUUGAACUUAGUGGAUUCUCACAUAUUCCUACAUAGUUAAGAACACACUACACAUAUAGUGAUAUAUAUAAUGUAAUUUCUACAUAUAACUGAUGACUCAAUUUUAAAAUGUGUCUAAAUAGGAAGAGUGACAUGUAUAGUGUCGGAACAUCUGAAAUAUUAUAAUUAUGGAUGAAAAUAUUGGUAAUCAUAGAUAUAUUAAUCAUUGAAUUUUAUGGAUAUAUUGAAAAAUAUUGAUGAAUAUUUUAACAAAAAAAUUAAUCAAAUGAAAAUUGAUCAGAACUCAUAAAAAUGUUGAAAAAAAUUCAAAGAAAUGAUAUAAGAAAUAAUAAUAAUAAUAAUAAUAAUAAUAAACAUUUAAUGUUGUUUUGUUGAAAAAUUAAUAAAUUACUAUAAGGGAAAUGAUGAUAUUUAAAUAAACAUUUCUUAUUUAAAAAUAUUGAUUAUUUUAUUUAUGAAUUUAUAUUUGGUUUAUAUUUAAUUAGUAUACAAAAUAGAUAACAAGAUAAAUAAAAUUAAUUUAUUUAUAUAUAUAGAGAUAGAUAGAUAAUUUUAUGUGGACAUUUAAAAUAAAAUGAGAUUUGGUUCAAUGGUAUAGACUAUUUAGUACAAAUCCAAGAACCUAGUUUUAGUCCUUUCUUUGUAUAUUUUUUAUAUUUUUAUUUAAGUGUAAGUGUGUAACUAAGAGCACAAUCCCACAUCCAAAGUUUGAAAGAAAACAAAGCUCCACACUCUUGUACUAUCAUAGUUAACAAGUGUAGGCUUGGGCUUAAUUUAACUUUUGGCCCAUUGGAUAUAACUAAAAAAUUUAACUUGUAUGGGUUGGGCUUGUUUUAACUCCUGUCGUUGCACACAUUUAAAAAAAUUUCAGGCUGGGCUAGUUGGACUUGUCCACAUCAUCGAAAUUCUGGCCAUUGGAUCACCUUACUUUCAAUUUUGGCCGUUGAUUAGAGGAAGAGGGAAGUAAUGGAAGCAUGACCGAUAUUUCCCAAAAAAUCAUUGAUUUUUCUUUAUAUUUCUCCGAAUUUUUCAAAAAUUGUCAAUAUUUCUUCAAUUUUCUACGAUGGUGUGUGAUCCAAAAGAAACAUCAUCAACUUCAUUAGUCAUAUCGAUGUAUUGUCAAUAUAUCAACAACUUUUGUUGAUUUUAUUCAAUUUUUCCUAUGAUCAAGCUUUUGGUGGAGAUUUUUUAUUUGGGUAUCAUCAAUAUUCGAUAUUUCGACGAAAUAUCGACAACAUACUGAGUAAAGCCCCCCACAACUUUAAAAUAUGUCUACCAAAUUAAGAAAAGUUUAUAUAUAUAUAUAUAUAUAUAUAAAGUAUUAGGAACUUCUACCCCUAAUUACCAAUAUGAGAUAUCAUGUUAGUCCCUAUACAAACACAAUAUUUGUCUUGUGGUUCAAAAGACUCCAUAUGUAGACAAUAAUAUCCUUAUUGCGUCCUAUGAACUUGUAAGAUAAGACAAACAAACAUCUCUUAUAAGCCCAAAUAGGGCUUUAUAUCAAGCAUUUAUGAUAACCUACUCCCUUUCAUGUAAAUAUUAUUUACUUAAGUCUUGUAAUUUGAACUUGGAAAUGUGUUAGAGUGGUGAUAGUAAUUGUAUUAUCAAGUGAAGUCCACAAUGGUAAUGUCCAUUCACAUCCACGGUCUACUUGGCUAGCUUAAUAUCUUGAAAUGAAAAAACACUCUUAAUAAAGAUGACAUGGUGAGAGGUAUAUAUAUUAUUUGAUGGCAAUAUUUAAACAAUUUUAGGCACUUUAAAGUACUAUUGUAUGCUACCAAUGUGAAAGAAAAAACUAAUUACAGAUCUAUGGAGGAGCGAGAAGAAAGAUUAGUUAAUAAAUAAAGAUUGAUUGGCAAUAUCUAGACAACGAAGCAAUCAUCCCAAUCUUCAUGCCUUUUCAGAUAUUAAUGGCUUGGAAAUCAAGAUGAGUACCAUACAAACAUGGACUUACAUUAUGUAUCUUGGAGUUAACCCUAGUUUAUAGAGUAAGGUAGUGUUUGUUUUUUUGGUUUUUUGCUGAAAAUCAUUUAGUUUUAGAAUUUAGGUUGUUUGUUUUUUUUACUUUUUCAUGACUUAUUAUAAACUUUUUACUAAAUAGAAAAAGCCAAAAUAUGUGGCUUUUUCUAAAUAGAAAAAAUAACACAAUGGUUUUUUUUACUUUUUAAUACUUAAUAGAAAUAAAAUACUAUAAAAACAAACAACCUAAUAUUUAAUACUAUUAAGUAUUAAUGUUCUAUUUAAAAUUAAGUAAAAAAACAAACACCACCUAAAUGUAGACAACAUUUUGUGGUUCAACAUUUUAUGAAGCUGAUCAUUAUUUAGCAUAUUUUUAUCACAAUUGUGAAAACAAUUAGUUGUGAUCCUUUCUCUAAGAGAUUUGUCCCACCACCAAAAAUCAUACCUACUAUUUAUUGUGAUGAUAUAGGGAUUGGUACUUAUCUCUUUAUGAACCCAAUGUUUAAUUCUCACAUAAAAUAUAUUUCAAUAUAUUUUCAUUUUGUCAGAGAACAAGUAUCACAAGGAAAACUUCGGGUCAUACAUUGGUUCCUUUAAACUAAUUUUUAUUAUAACAAAAUAUAGAAUUUGUAUUUAAUCUUGUCUUGAAAGGUUUGAUCUGGUUACAAAUUCAAACACAACUUAGAUGGAUAAUGUGCAACCCAACUUCCAAUAUUUCUUCUAGGAAAAUUAAUGAUCAGUGCACAAAACAACUUGUAUACUUUAAAAAAGGAGAAAAAAUAAAAAAGAAAAAAAGAAAAAAAGAAAAAUGUAACUGUAUCCCUAUUUCCUUUGAUUUCAUUUCUUGCCACGAAAUUGGGUAUAGAAUGUUUAAUCAUUUUCCUUAAUUUCAAACCCUCAAGACAUGUCUGUAUGAGGACAGAGUUACAUAUUUCUGAUCAUCAUGACUGUUGAUGAUCCUUAUUAGCACCAAGUCUUCAAAUGCAUUGGUACAAUUGAACUGGAGUCCUUUUCAUACAAAACUAUUUUGGCUUUUGGGGAUGCUCUCCAUUUAAGAAAACAGUGCUUAUAUACUUGUGCAUCGACAUGACCAAAUUGCAUGUGACGGUUUUUGGGAGUGAUCAGAGCUAGAUUCUCCAAAAUUAUUGCCUUCUCCAGGAAGAGCCUCACCAAUUCUAGUUCGGGCCUUUCAAACUUGAAACCCUUCAACUUAACAUAUUUCAGGAACUCAAACUUCAGUGGCUGGCUAUCUUCUUGGAAUUUUUUCUUGGCAUGUAACUCCCAGUAGUACCCGCAUCCAAAAGAGAAGUUAUUGAGCUGCAUAAGAUUCGGGAAAGUAAUAAGAAACCAGUCGAAUUAAAGAUAUACAUAUAAGUUAAAAUUCUAAUGAAUACACUCACAUCAAUGAAAACCUUCUCGAUGCAUGGGCAGUUUCUGAUAAAAGAAGAAAUGUCAUGAGGAUUGCAAAAGCUGGUUGCAUCCAUGAUCAGAUGAAGUUCCUUCAUAUUCCCUAAAGAGAACUGCAUAGCUCUGAGAUCUCCCUUCUCAUACUUUUGAGAUAGCCCCUAGAUUACAACAUCAACACAAACCAAUAAGAAUGAGUAAAAACCAUUAUAAUUGAAGUUUUGAGACUAUAUAUAUAAACCGAAGGAGAAGAAUUACCUCAAGAAAUGUACUGGAAACAGUGAGACAAGCGACAUGAACAAGAUUCAGUAGGAGAUUUCUGGUCCGAACCAUCUCCAAACAACUUCUUGCAGGUGGGCAACAGAGAAUCACAUCUUUCAGCUGUGGUAGACUGCCAUUGAAACUCAGCUUGCUGAAAUAGCCGUGGUAGAAAAAGGAGCGAAGUGUGGGAGCCGAAAUAUGAAUACUAGAAAGAUCAGUACACUCCACCACCUUCAACUCCCUGAACCUUUUCAACUUUCCAGUCGAAAUCUUCAAAUGGAAGACUUUAGAACAGUGCAGUAGCUCCAAAUUUUCCAGCAGCAAACAGUUGGCAAACACUGUCUGAAUCAAACCCUCAGAGGCUGGCAUUUUCCUGAGGACAAGAGUGUUCAAGGAACACAAACCUUUAGGCUUGAGAGGCAGAUGGAGUUCACAGAAGGACAGCUUUAGAAUCCUUAUGGAUUCAACAUCAAUAAGAUCAGAAACAAUCUGAAACGGCUCUUUCCCUUGGCGGAAGUCCAAAUCGAGCUCUUCCACUCCCUUUUUAACCGAUUUCCUGAUCCAGCUCUCAGCUUUGGACUCCAUGGCAUCGUGAUUGAAAUACAGUCUGAAGCUGUCGAUCUUAGAACCCAAAUGGUGUCUGAAGACGCUGUUCAAGAUCCACAUGAUCUCCUCACGCCCUCGUCCUUUCGCGAAGUCCUCGUCGAAAUGAAGCUUCCGGUUUAUAAACCAUGAAUUUCUGAAGCGCAUGGACACAGUUCCCAAUUGCACCACCUUCUUGAUCGGGAGAAAAGAGAAGAUUUUCUCAACAACAUCAUAAGGAAGAUCCUUCUGAGGGUGGUUUCUCUUGAAUCGCUUCGGAGCUGGUGAAAGGGACAGCUUUUGGGGCUGACUACUCGGACCUGCCAUGGAAUCACCGAGGCAAAGAAAAUACAGAUUGUUUCAUAAAAAAUUUAAGUGUGUUUUUUUGUGAUAAAUCGAAGGAAAUUGUGAGAAAAUGAGAUAUCUCUUUGCUGGAAAUGGAGGAGCUCUGAGAAAAACCAGUGACGUUGCGCACUCCUGUUACUCCAACAGCGGACGAUACUGGCGGAGAUGGCUGCGUUUGGCUCGUGGGUAUUUAUAAAACGGUGUCGUUCUGACGAUUUGAUGAAGACAGGUGGAGUCCUUUGUCUCUUUCUAUGAAAAUCACUUUCCUUUUUUCUGGAGCUGAUUUUCGUAGUAAUUAUUUUUUGUAGCCUCUUAAUCACAUUUCCAUUUUUCUUUACAUCACUUUACAAAAGAAAAAAAAAAGACCCUUUAUCUGUUGCAUACAAAAGUUAAGUAAAAAAGAGAAAGGCAUUAUUUUACCUUUUUUUUUUUAUAAUUUUAAGGAGGGUGAAAAAAAAAUAUUUUUUAUUUUAUUUAAAAUGGUAUUAUCUUAAAUAAGAGAACCAUUAUUUCCCUUUUGCUGUAAUCACUUUAAUUAAUACAUAUUAAAAUAUUAUGGAAAAGAAAUUUUAAUUGACAUUUAUAAAACAUUAUCUACAAAAGGAAAAAGUUUACCCAUAAAGAGUAAGCAAGGAAAUAAUUUUCCCUUUCUUUCUCAUUCAAAUGAAUAAAGUAAUAAUUUUUUUUUAUAUGGUAUUAAUAAUUAAAAUUUUCUACCACAAAGAAAAUGGGUCAUUUAUAAUUUUAAUAUAGGCUAUAUGAUUUAAGUGGGUAAUGAAAUUUAUUUUAUUUUAAUAUUUGUGAGAAAUUUGAUACCUAUAAUCUCCAAUUAUUUUUCCUUUUCUCCCUUGUUAAUUUAGAAUUAAUAAAUUCAAAUUUAUAAAUACAAAAUUGAUUAAAAAUAAAAAGUAAAAUAGAUUUUAUAUUAAAGUGAAAAUCAUAAAUCCUUUUUUAUCAUUAAUUUUUUUUUUCUUAAAAAGGGCAUAGUAACAUAAGUAAGAUUAAUUAAUAUAGCAUUAUUCUAAAAAGAAAGGUAAUUGUGAUUAAUGGUUGAGGGUGUGUAAUUUGGUUGAGUAAUGAAAUUUUAUUCAACAUUAAUAUGUAAAAAAGAAUUUGAUGCCAUCAUUUUGAAUUAUUCUACUUUUUGAUAAUUUAGUAUUGAUUUUAUUUAAAAUUAAAAUAUUUUCGCACAUCAUUUGAAGGCACGGUUUGGCCUUGUACUAGAUAAAAAUCAGUUCGAUGUUAGAUUUUUCUAUUCAAUUAAACAUAACCUGUUGAUAUCAACCAACAUAACUAAAUUCAACAAUAAGGAAUUUCCAAUUUAAGACAAUUGAAAAAGGUAUGGCAAAUGAAAUAGCAAAGCCUCCAAUAUAAGCAAUGAACCCAACAUCAGACAAAUAAAUUGAAAAAGCACCAAGGACAAGCCCAAAAAAGGGGAUUGGAUGCAACAUUGCGAUGGAUUUUCAUGUGUAAUGUACGCACAAAUUUCUUAAAUUGGGUGCAUUCAGCCUCUCUCCUUUCUCUUGAUGUUCUCUAGGUUACAUCAAAAAGUUUGAUGUUACAUGUACAAUGAAAAGGUAAAAUGAUAGUAAUCUAUCCUUGACAAAAACUGAUGGCCUGUAUGCAGUUAUACAUACCUUUUAGAGUUGCAUGAGGACCGUGAGUGUAGGUUUCUGUCUUUAGAUUAGCUGCUUUAAGUUCCUAUGGGAACAUUCUCAGCUGCUCAAAUACGAGAAACUCCACACUGAAGCACAGUUUUCAUCACCUACAGAAAACAUAAACCAAUUUUAGGCUUGGUCGUCUCAAUCAGGAAGGGGAUCCUCCAGAUUCCUCCAGAUUAGGACCCCAUUUAUUGACGUCACAUACAUUGUUCUCAUUUUUCUUGUAGGUAUUCUUAAAUUCAAAUUCGUGAAGAAGUCAGCAACAAUAUUCCAUUCAGAACAAGCAAGUGCAGCUCGGAGAGUAAAAGUGACCUUUCAAACCAAAAUCUGUAAGCUAAGUGUUAAAAACAACAUUUUCCUUUUGCUGAUAUAGCUAAUUGGCUUGAGGUUUUUUCAGACAAUCACCACUAUUGUCUCAAGUUUGCCUAAUCCAUGGUAACAAGCAUGCAGAAAUGCUCCUCAAUCUCAGGCGACUUUCAUCAAAUUCUAGAAAAUUUCAACUCUCUUACUUUCUCAUGCCUAUAUCUUUUAUUAUUUUUUGGAUUCUAAUCAUUGUUAUAAUCCAAUUUUGAAUUGUUUUGUCAUUGUUGUGUACUGGUUUGCUAACCCGAGAUCAUUGUCUCACCUGAUUUUUGAAAUUAGGGAUUCCUCAAGUCAUACAAAUUAUUCAAAUUUGAAGUACCACAAACUUCAUGAUAGCUUGGCUGUUCAAUAUGUUAAUCACAUAAAAUGGAAAGGUGGAAAAUGAACCCUGUAGUAACACCAUAUGGAUUUAGGAGUUACCAGAUAUACCAAGGCUCAAAUCCUCAUUGGAUUCAGGAAUUCCAAAUCGCCGGUGGCCUGAUGAUGAGGCAGCCAUUGGCAGAAAUGGAUGGAAAGAGAAACCAUUAAUGGUGUCUGUAUAUAAGACAAAAAGCAAGUUAAAAUAGGUAAGAAACCCAGAAUAGAUGCAAAAUUAAAUUUAUCAUGGCAAUUUCUAGCAAAUAACAUGUCAACUAGUCAUACCAGAUGCAGCUUGAAAGCAUGAUAUCCACUGCCCAGUUUGAAGAUCAUAAAUAUGAACCAAGCCGUCCUGGAACCAAAGGUCACAACGAGAAAAAAGAAAAAGAGAAAAAAAGAGGUAAUUGAUUUUGUUAUAACACCAUGAUCAACCACAGCAAAAGGAUGAAGGCUAAAAUGAUACCUGACCACCUGUACCAAGAUGUCGGCCACCGGGCUCAAUGUCAAAAAAUAUCCUCUGGUUGGUUGUUUCAGUUGAUCUAUAAAGCCUAAUUACAAGACGCAGAAAAGUGAAAGCACUUAAAUCUCAUUGCAUUUCAACAUAUUUAAUUACAUAAAGAAAAAUGGAGCCUGCCUCGGUUGACCACAGGAAAUCUCAAAUUCAAGAAAAAUAAACAUGGAACAUACAAGCAAAAGGAUUCUGCUAGACAUACUUGUACACAGUGUUGACAGUGUUGCGUAUAUCCCAACACAGUAUAUAAGGGUCCUGUAAGGUUUUCAAGGAUAAAACUUUGUCAAAUGCACUUACAAAAUAAAAACAAAUGUACACUUGAUAUCAACAUAUUAACAAUCAAAUAUGAACUUCACCAGAUCAAGAUAAUGUUAACUGUGGAGGUCCUUGAAGAUCACACAAGAUACAAAGACUGACCAUNNNNNNNNNNNNNNNNNNNNNNNNNNNNNNNNNNNNNNNNNNNNNNNNNNNNNNNNNNNNNNNNNNNNNNNNNNNNNNNNNNNNNNNNNNNNNNNNNNNNACUGCUGAAGAGCACAAUUUUCAUAAGAUGUAAAGCAAUGCAAAUAGAUUUUUAAGAGCUAAUCAAGUUUGGGAAUGUGGAAAGGAGGAACCACAUUAAUGGCCUCAACUUCGCUGCAUUAACAGCAAACAAGAACAAAUCCUUUUAUAGACUUUCCUCUAUUGUACUCACCAAAGUUUGGUUGUGAGCAUAUGAUUGGGGCUAAAUGAACUCAGUCUCCAUUCUUUCACCACGUAAUCAACUGAGUAGCAUCAACCAUUUCUAUGAUUAUGCUCAUCAAGCUGCAUGGGCAGAGAACUGAACAUUAGGCCAGGAUCCACAUAUUCGGCCUUAAAUGUGCUAUACUUGAUAGAGUCAGGGGAUGCACCUUCUUUACAUCUCCCCACGAUAAUCAUAAGAUUGAGGCGGUUGCAUGGAAUUGUUAUUUGGAGGCUUCAAUCCAAAAUCUUCUGUUCGGUUGUUUUGUCUAACAAUGGCUUCAGAAAUUCAAUUACAUUCCUAGUUCCCAAAUCAACCGAAACAAUUUCAUGGUAAAAGCAAUAACUUCUAACUCCAUAGAUUUGGAGUUUCAGAUCAAAUCCAAACCCUGUAACUAAAUCCAAACUCUAUAACUAAACGCAAUCCAAGUGCUCCUCCAAGAGCAACAGAUUCCACAUAAGCCAAUUUACUAAAGUUAUCAAACUGUUACGAAUAGUUUAUAAUUAUUAAACUGUAACAUAACAUGCAGAGUGAUCCAACACCGCAUCAAUACGUUCACCAGGACUUGGUCGUCAAAUUCAAAGUUGAAUCAUUAAUUUUACUUCAGGUUUUGAACGCAUUGAGUUUAUGAAAUUCUUGAUAUGAAAAUCAUCAAUCGCAUUACGAGAUUCUAUCCAGAAUUAACAUCGCCGAAACUGAAACUAUCGACAUUUCCCACAGAUUUGGCAAAGGAUGAUCCAAUAAACAUGCAAAUACUAAAACUAUAUUAAUAAUAAUAAUAAUAAUAAUAAUAAUGCUCUGAUUGGUUUUUUAGAAAUUUAAAUAAAUAAAAAAUGGAAAACCUCACGUCAUCCAGAAAAAUAAAUAUAUUUUACUCGGUUGACCAAGGCUUUCGUUUUUCUGAACCUUUGUGAUUCAAAGAUUUUAAAGUUUUCUCAGCAACCAAACAGAGGAUAAACCAAAAAAGACGCGCAAAAUCCAAUUGCACAAGCACCUGCAAGCUAGACUAAGCCAAAAACUACAUAGGCUAAGUGAGCACGAAGCCAAAUGAAUUCAAGUUUAACCUGAACACAUAGAAGAUUAGACAGAGCACCUGACUGUGAAGAGAACAACAAGGCGAGAGAGCGAAGAAUGGUCAUGGAAAGCUCUGGAAACUCUCUCGUAGAAGCUGAAACUCCUCAUUUUCUUGGCUUUGAAACCUUGCGCACUCGGAUCUACUCACAGUUGUCGCAGCCUUAGAGCUGAAGAAGAGGCUUUCAAGUUUUGUGGAGAAAUAAAGAGAGUUAGAGAGAGGUGUUUUGUUUUGCUUUUGAUUCCAAAUUGAACAAAUGGUCAGAAAAUUGAACAAAAGGAGAAGUCCAGGAAGGUGGGAGAGAGGGAGAGAGAGAGAGGUAGGAAUAUGACCUGUGUCACGCAGCUUCCAGCUACUCAUUUCAUUGACUUGGCGCGCAAGCCACACAAAUGAAACGUGUGUCGCCCCUGUCGCUCUAGUCACCGACACGUGGAGAGCUGGUGGGCUGUUAGAUCUACUCAUCACAUGCGCUAUCAGGGCACCGUCCAUUUUGAUCCUUUUUCCAAACAACAAAAACAUAUGCGAUGCUAAUCAGAAACAUAUGAAAAACCGUUUCUGAAAACAAAAUACGUUUUUUUUUAAAUAAAAUUUUAAAUUUUAAAAUAUUUUAAUUUUUUUAAAUGUUUGCAAAAAUCUCAUAAAAAUAAUUUUAUAUCUAUAUAAUUACUUUUUCCAAAUAAAAACAAUUUAAAACAAUUAAAAUAUAUUCUAAAAAAUAAAAAUAAAAAUUUAAAAUUUUUUCAAGCUUUAUCCUCUUCCAGAAUGUUGGUUGUAAUUAUUUUGAUUUAUACAAUGUUCUUAUAUUCUUAAUUAAAACCAAAUAAAGAAACAAGUGGAGAAGAAGGAAAAUGCGAAAACACAUGCUUUUGACCUAAGCAUUCCAGGAAGGCUGCCAUAAUAUUGGAGGGUGGCGUAUUAACGAAAAGUGAAUUGACUAAAUCGCCUCCAGCUGAAGAGCUUGUUCUAGAAGGAUGACUGUGAUUAAUGUUAUUUAAUUGACAUUAGAAGAAACAGCAUGCAUAAGGGUUUGGUUUGAAAAGGAGUUGCAUUGUUCCACAUGGGGCACCCUUGUGAUUUUGCCAACUACUCAAACGGCUAUGUGAGAAAACAUAUAAAAGUUGUUGAUUACUUUAAUUUAUUCAACCGUUGCUUUAAGAUUUGCAUGAAAGGCGCCGAUCAUUAAUGAAGCACUUAAAAAGUGGGUUGUCCAUUCCGAAUCCUCCCGUUGUACUUUCAAAUUAUAAGUCUUUUUUAGUAAAAAUAUGAUAAAUAUCCCAUGCAAAUUUAAGAAUUUAGCAUUAUAAGGGCAGUUUUAGACCAAAUUCAUAAUUAUCAAUUAAAAAAUUUUUGUUGGGAAUUAGUUCAAGGAAUAUUUUAUAUUAUAAUAUAUUUGUUUUGAUUGCAAAAUCUUACAUAUAAAUUACAAUUUUUAUUUUAUGAAAGAAGAUAUUUUAAUUUUUAUUAAUAUUAAUAUAAAAAAACCACUGAGAAAAGUUGGCUUUGCUCCUAAUAUUAUUGAAACAUGUAAGUUAAUCUUAUCAUUAGUUUAGAUUUUACUUAAAAGGGCAUGAAGUUAAUAGGUAUUUAAAAAUAAAUUUAAUAAAUAUGUAAAAAUUAAAAUUUGUAUGAAUAUAUUUCUUAUUUAUUUUUUUAAAAGAUAAAAACUCUCAUGAAAAAAAAAUAUAGAUUAAUAAAAGUCCCAAAUUUCUUUUUUAUUUUUAAGAAUAUUAUAUAAAAUAUUUUUUGGGUUGAUUGAAUCACAUUAAAACCUCGAAUGUUGUAUUAUUAUUUCAUCUUUAUGUUUAUGAUUGAACUUUGUUUGUAUUAAAGUUUUCAUUGGCACAACAAUUUUAUAUCCUUAAAAAUUAAAGUUAAAAGUUUCUAAAUUUCAUAUAGCAAAUAUUUUGUAAUACCUUAAUUUUUAUAAUUAAUUUUAUUUUCAUCAUAUGUAGGAAAAUCCAACUUUAGUGCUAUUACCUCGUUUAUAAUUAGUAGGAUAUGAUUCUUGGAUGAGGAUUUAUAUUUCAUUUAUUUGUUGUUAUUUAUUGUUGGACCGACAAUUCUAACAUGUUUAAAGGCUAGCAUUACAAUAUAUCAUUAAGGAUAACAAUGGAGAUAGUGUUUUUUUAUGUAGCAUUUCUCAUCUUACUCCUAAUAGAACGGUUUGUCUUAAAUAUAAAUGGGUUGGAGACAAAUUUGAAAAGUAUUUUAAAAUCCAAGGUAGGUUAGAGGGAUUGAAUAUGACAUUAUCCCAUUCAACCACUAUCAUAUAUAAUAUUAAAUAAAAAUAUUUUAAUUAAAUAUUUGCUUCAUUUUUCAACUUUUUUAAAUAUAUAUAAAAUAUUACUUUUUCUUAAAAAUAAAUUAUAAAUAUUUAUAAUAUUUAUUAAUUUAUAAUUUUAUUUAUUUUUAAUACAUUUUGUAAAUAAAAAAAAGUUUGAAAAAAAUAAAAUAGAAAGGUUAAACAUGAUAGAACAAUGAAAGUUUUCCACACUCCCAUCACCCCAAUUUAACUCUAUAAAUAUAAAUAAAUGAGGUGGGUUUAAGAUGGAGUGAUUGGUCCGGAACUAGUCUUGUGCUCUAUUUAUCAUUCUCAUGUCCCUCCGUGAGAUUCAAUAAAAAAAAAAGGAAUUAUUCAUUUUUUUUUGGUACUUUCCACAUUUUAUUUUAUAAAUUUUAUGAUUAAAACAAUUAGAGACAUCAUAAGUUAUGUCGUUGAAAAUUAAAAUUCCCAAUUUAUGAUUGGGGUGUGAGAAAGUGACUUUCUUGGAAGUACUGGACGAUCGGUGAUCCUCUAGACAGGUCCCAUUUAUCAUUUUUAGGAUGAGGGCAUUGCGUGUUAAAAUUGUUUUAAUGUUGGCUUUUAGAAAUGCUGUUCAAGGUUGUCAUCUUAUGAAAUUACAAAUAUAUAGAUAUACAUACAUGUUCCUCCCAGACAACCUUCAUUCUCAAGUUCAAGUUUCUAUCACAUCUUAACUAGCGGCAUGUUUGUUUUCAUCCGAAAUGGAAUUUGCUAUAGCCAUUCUUUCUUGCGUGAUUUGUACCCCCUCUACAAUUGUUCAUACAUCAUUCCUGCCUAACUCCAAUCAUCACAAUAGCGUAUAUCAUCAUUGAUUACGAUACUAAAAAUAUUUGUUUAUUGUGUUCAAAAUAGCUCUAAUCAUUAAUAUUUUUUAAAUUUUUUCUAAGGCUUUGUUUCUAUUUUAAUUUUGUUUUUGUAAAUUAGCUUGAUUUCUCUCUAUUUGUGAUAUUUGCCUUUUUAUCCCACCCCAAUCCCAUCGAGUACACUGGUCAAACGUCAUCGUUUCACCCACACAAACGAUUAUUGAUAACGAAUAUAUAAGCUAUCACAUCUAUGAAGAACAUAGCAAAAUACGAUAAUUUUGUGUUAAUUAUAGAAUCUCAUGAAUCAUCAAGUAUUUGAACUCAAGUUAUCCCUUAUCCAUUCUCAUCCCAGCUCGUUGAGAGCCCUCGAGUAAAUUACGUUGAUCAUAAAUAAAUUUAAAAUGUUCAAAUUUUAAUUAUGUUUAUUUUUUAUUUUUUAUAUUUUUAGGCAACCAAAUAUAACCUUAUGGUCCAAAGAAAAAAAAAAUCCCACAUUAAAUAAUUUUAAUGUCAGUUUGAAUUAACAAAAGUAAAGCAUAUGUAGUCUAAUCUUCAUGUACUAAAAUCAUUAAAAAUAAGUUUCAAAAAUUCAAAAUUGCGAAGCGUCUGCCAGGAAUAUAGCAGGACUAUGGACCAAUUUUCCAUUUAGAUUGUGAGAAAUCCCUUCCGCUGAGAAUGUUCAUGAACUCGUACCAGGAGAUGAUGAUAUGUUUUCAUCACGCCCACCGUGUACCCUAUGGCAAUCUGGCUAUCACAGUCACGUGACGGACACGUGGGCAUUUGACAUUUUGGGAAAAAUUUAAUUUAGUGCUUCAGAAAAAGCUGGUGGGCAAACCACUCAACUAGUCACGUUACCGGUUACCUCAAACCUUUUGUUAAAUGUUUGGAUUUGUUGAUUAAAAUUAGGAAAUGUACAUGAACAUUGGUAUCAUACAUUACAGACAAACCCAUUACUCAGAUUUUUAUCACUCUCUCCAAUGGGAUAAUUUCCCCUCUAUUUUCUUUAAUUAAUCAAGGUUAACUGAAUCUAACCCCUUGCCGGAAAAUUCACCUUUUAUCGCCGGAAAACUGAUGAUUUCUCGCCGGAGAUAUAUCAAUCUCUAUCAAGUUGUCUUCUUCAACGUGGAACAUUGCAUCAAGCUUGCCGUCCAAUGCUAUCUCAAUCAACCCUUCACGGUCGUCUUGGUCCCACCUGAAGCUCAUAUUCUCCGGUGAGUUCCAGCCGUUGCUUGCCGGGAAUUCACCGUCCGACGAGGUAUCGGAGUCAGAUUCCGGGUAGCAAAGCGACAGGGAUGGGUAUCUCUCGAGUCCCAGGAAGCGGGUCUCUUCUGUUACAUUCAGAUCUUCGUCUUCUUCGCCCUCGAACUCUUCGUAUAUCACCUCCAAUGGCGCUCUCACGUUCCACCCGACGAACGAAUCACAGAAAAAGGGUUUCGUGUCAAAAUCGGAGUGAAUUUCGGGCCAUUUUUCAGGUUGUGGAUGGACGCAUUUGAGUUCUCGUCCUCUCAUAUCGGGUUGUUCCGGUUCGUUAGAACUGGGUUCCCCUUCAACCUGUUGGUUCACUCCUAACCGUAGAAGAGUCAACAACAGAACCCCGGUGGAGAUCAGUACGGGUGAGAAAACGAUCCCCAGGAAAAUCCUGGGGAAAUAGAGGAGAAUCAGAAUAUACAGCGUAACAAUACAUGAAAACAAUGGGUCAGACGAAAGAGACGAUAGGCAAGAAAACGCUUUUGCGAAGAAGUUCAUCGCUUCAAUUAGACCCAGAGUGGAAAUGGAAUCCAAUUCCCAUGGACCCUCCUCCAUGAAGAAUACAACUUUCCUUGAAAGCCAAUGCCGGAGUGCAACUUUCAAGGACAACCCAAGAGAAAAAAACUGAAACCCAUUGGAGUAAAGACCAGAGGAGGGAGGAAGAGGAUGAGAAAUGGAAUGGAGAAUUUAAAAGCAGGAGGAAAAGAGGGAUGGGGUGGGGGGUUUUACAAGGUUGGCUUGUGGGGUUUAGGCCUUGAGGGAGAGAGAACCUUUUGGGAGUGCGCAAGAGCAAGGCAUGGAAUAUCUAAGAGUGAUGGGGAUAUGAGUGCAAUUACUUUGAUAACCACUCUUCACCCCCCUUUCUACGCAUCUUAGCCUCAAUGUCAUCUCACAAUACAGAUUGGGGCACCAUUUCAUUUCAUUUUAUUUUAUUUUAUUUUAUUUUUUGCAUGAAUCUUGAGGGGGAAGAAUCAAGAUCUUACUCACAGCCACAUGAAUUGGUCAAAUUUGUUUGAAGGAAGAAAUUGACUAACAAAAUUUGAAGAAAAAGCAGUGCAAGACUUUGUAGAGUUGGUGUGCACUCAAUUAUCAAUGAAUUAAUUUUCAGAAUUGACUGUGGAACAACAUCCUCAGCUCUUGUUCAAAACUUUUACUCCCAAUGUUCAAACUCAUAUCUUCAAUGUUACCCAAAUGAAUUCCAUUGGUGAUUAAUAAAUAGCUUUGAAUUCAGAAUAUGAAUUCUUUUUCUAUUACAAGGGCUUGUAUGUUUCAUGAAAAAUGGAAUGAUUUCAUUUUUGUAUUUCAUGGAAUGUAUUGCCACAACAAUCCAUUGGAAUUUAGGGCCAUUAUAAAACAAAAACAAAGUCAUGUCAAAUAAAUACUUUGGUUUUUCUGUUGGGAAGAAUAAAGUUUUGCUUUUGUGUCAGACACCCAUCAUUUAAUACUGCUAUCUUUAAAUAAUGUAAUUUCUUUUAUUUAACUUAUAGCAUGAAAAUAUUAAUUUCGCAAAAAAAAAAAAUGAAAAUAAAUUGAUGAAAAACAAUUGAGAAAAAAGGAAUCCGGUCCUGCAGUUUCAGUGGCAGUGAAGUAAAAAAGAGGGAAAUGGAAGGCAAAUUUAGAUCUGAAUUGGGUUGGGAGGCUCUGGUUCAUAAAUUUUCUAGGACAGUUUCAUCACCCUUUGAAUUAUUUCUUUCCUUUUUUCAUGGUUCACUUUUGCCACUCUCCUUUAUUGCCCAUCCCCCUUUCUUUUCAUUGCCUUAUAAGUUUCAAUCGUCCUUUUUCUGUGAUAUGGAACUUGUCUUCUAAGGUGGGGAACUUGUUGAAUACCUACUUUUUCUAUACCCUCUCUGAAUUUUGUUGGUAUUUUUAAUAAAUUAAUUGAAAUUUAAACUUCAAUUAUGGUUUUUUUUAGUAAUGUAAGUCAAGAAUUUAAAAAUUUUAGAAAAUUCAUUUUAUAUUAAAAUUAUGGUUGAAAUGGGAAUUGAUGUGAUGAUAUGUAUUAAUAUUUGAAGGAACCAUGACCCGACUCUAAUGGUUCGGGUACAAUAAGUAUGAUGAAUUUCUCAUAUGCCAACAAAUGGAUUGACCCGCUUGAUGCCCUUUCUUCUCGAUGAUUAAGACAAAAUCAUUGUUAUUUUCUCUAACCCUAAUUUAGAAUAUAUGGAAUCAUAGAUAGAGCAAAAACAGAAAUUGAGGGAGACAUGAUAUUCAAAUAUCUGUACGACUUAAUUAUAAUAAUUUAUUUUUGUUUAAAAUCUUAGGUCAAGAAAUCAAAUCUCAUCUCCUACGUAUUUUUUCUCCUUUAUAAACAUCUUGAUUUUCAUCCCUUGUCUAUCCUACAAAGUAAUUGAUACCUUUCUCUCACCUCCCUUCGAAAUACAUAUAUGUCUUAGAUUUUUAUCUCUUGUCUAUUCAAAAAUAGAAUGAAUAAACAUUUCAUCAAUGCUUUAUUUAUUCAUAAAAAGUGUGUGGAAUUGUCACUUCGUUUCUCAUAUGAGGCUGUUAAAGACUUAUACCUAAAAAAAUAAAACGCAAACCCACAUAUCAAUGAUCCAUUUAACUAUAUAUGUUUACACAUAAGUAGUUAGUUUGAAUCACCUCAAAAAAGAUUAACCCAGAUGUCAAUGACCCACUAAAUAAUUUGUGAUUAUAUAUGGGUAGUUAGUUUGAAGUUAAUGCAACAGAAAUCUAUUAUUAAGAAUAUUCUUGGUAUUAUUCCCCUUUUUUAUAUACAAUUUAAAUAAUAACUUGAUUGUUUGGGAAAGAUUGAUUGAAACACCAUUUGACAUUUUUUUUUUCUUAUUUUCAAGAGCUGUAAAGUUCAAUUAUGGGCAAAAUUAUUGCAUUUCAUGAUAUAGUUAUGUAUUGAACAUGCAAGAGGAAAAGUAUUAUUGAAAAAUUAUUGCUUCAACUACAUUUUUAUUAGACAUUAAUUUGUUUUAUUAGUCAUUGUCUCUUUUGGUAGUCACCUCUUUUAAAUUGACAUUUUGGGUUUUUAAAAAAUUUGAAAUCUUUAAUACAUUGUACAUCCAUUCAUCAAUUUCAAGUGUCACACGAAUUUAUAGUACAGUUGACAAUGAUUUUAAAAAAUAUUUUUAUUUUUUUUAUAUUUAAAAUAUAUUUUAAGUAUAAUUUUUUUAAAAAUUACUAGCAAAUACACUUUUAUUAUAUUUAUUAUUUUCCUAUGUAAAUACGAUAUUUAUCUCCGUAAAAUAUUAUAAUAUUUCAUCCUAAGAAAUAAAUUGACAAAGUCAAGCAUAUCGAGUAAUGAAGUAGAGGGUGGUUAGGCCAUCACUAGUCAGAACAUUGCAUGAAGAUGGAGUAGGGCUAUAAGUGGGCUGAGCUGCCGAGCACAUGAGAGAUAACGGUUUGACCCAAUAGACUUGGAAUAGAAAUCCAAUCAAUAGUUAGGCGUGACUUGGUUGGCAGACCUAACGGUACCCAGUGUGUUUCUGUCACCUUGCUCAUAUAACUCAGGGAACAUUUAGCCCCUUCCAACCCACUCACCACUGUGCCACUGUGGAGACGGUUCUCCGCAGCCCCCUUUGUGGCAUAUUCCCACCGUAAAUUUUUUUAUAAUUAUAAAUUAUAAAUAAUAGUUUAGAUUUUAAGAAGGGAGGGAAAAAAUAAAGAAAAUAUCUAAUAAAGUAGGAAUCUUAUAACAUUAUUUAUAUAAAUGUCGUCUCCUUUAAACCUCGUGUAAAUACAAUAAAAUACAAUAAAAUAUAACGAGAAUGUUAUUAGGAGUAUGAGAUUGAUAGUAUUUAUAAUAAUUCGCUCUCAAUCUUAUAAAUAUUAUCUAUUUUGUAUCUAAAAAACUCUUAUGACUUUAAAAGACAUCUAUAUGCUUAAGAUGAUCUUCUAUAUUCGAUAUGAGAUAUCGUAAUUUAAUAUAAAAAAUUGUACAACAUACUCACAUCUAUUUUUUGAUAAAUACUGCUUUUAAUCUAUAGAUUUAUUUAUUUGUUUAUAAAAAAUAUGCAAGUUAAAUUUAAAAUUUUACAAAGGUGUGAUUAAUUAAGUCAUAUGGCGUAACUCCAUUUGGGUGUCUUAUUUAUUCUUAAAAAUCUCAUGUGGAAACAUGAAUUCAACAAGAGGGAGGGUCCCAUGGAAUUGAGAUAGAGAGGAGCAUUCCCUACAUUUGGUCACCGAAGCAUGUGAUGUGCUCCUCAUAAACGAAUGGUGUCCCAAGAAAAAGCAUGUCCAUGAAAAGCUAAUUGAAAAAGGAGAGGAGCCAACACAAAUGCCACAAGUUCCAUCUUCCAAUUCUCCAACUUCUUCCGGGUCUAGAAUAAAAGACUAGCUGCUCUUUCACUCUUUAUCUCUCUCCAAUAAUAUAAUGCUAUUUUGUUUUUAGUUUUGAUCUUAGCUUCACUUUCAAAAUAACCCCCUAUGGAAGGGAAAAUUUUCCUAAUAAAUAUAUUAGACUCCUCUUAAUUAUAUAAAUAUAUUUUAAAAUCAUAGAAGUUCAUUACAUCUACAAUGGAAUAGGUAGGUAAUUUUAAAUGUUUUGACUUCCGGUUAAAGAAUUGUUAUGAUAUAUUACAUUCGAUAAAAACACAAUAUAUUCUUAAUUAUAUAGACAUAUUUAAAAAUCUUGAAGCCUAAUGGGUAUAAUGGAAUAAGUGUCUCAAAAUUAUUGGAAAGAUGAUUGUGUUAUCCUAUAUUAGAUAGGAACAUAAUAUAUGUUAUGAAUUUCUUUUAACUAUGUAGACGAUUUAACAUGAUAAGUGCUAGAAUAGUUAGAAAGUAAUAUAUAGGAAUUUAUGUGAGAGAAGUUAUAGAAUUGUAUUAGAAUCAUAAAAUAUAGUCUUAUAAACUUUUUAAUUAAGUGGUUAAAUUAUUAUUUGAUCUUAACAUUUUCAUGUUUUUAUUGUUAUUAUUAUGGAUAAACAUUUGUAUCUUGUCAUAAAUGAGUUAUAAUGGGUCAAAGAUGCUUUAUUAAAGUUAUGAAAGUUUAUUGAGUUUGGAACAGACAAUAUCUAUAUGAAAGACCAAGCCAUUAUCAAUGUUAUAAGAUAAAUAUGUAUAUGUAACGACUCGCACCCAACCAUAUAAAUAUUGUUCGCUUUGAGCCCAAAGAGCUUCUCACGGCUUUAAAAUACGUCUACAAGGUUAUGAGGAUUUUAUACUUCGCUAUGAACUUUUCUCUCUAUCCGAUGUGGGAUGUCAUAAACACUCUCAUGCAGACACAAUGUCCUCGUUGUGUUCCACAGAAUUGUAGGAUCAAACAGACAAAUACCCCUAUGGGAUCAAAUAAACCCCCAUAUCGAGGUCGGGGAUUGGAUCUGAUACCAUUUAUAAUGAUCCACUUUUAACUGUGUAGAUAUUAUUCGUUUUUAAUCCAAAUGAGUCUUCACGACUUUAAAAUGUGUCUAUAUGGUUACAAGAAGUCCAUACUUAUAUAGUGUCAUGACUCCUAUUCGAUGUGAGAUGUCAUAGUAUAUAUUGAGUUUUUCCUAACUUCAAGGUAUGAAGGUAUAUUGCUCUCAUAGUCGUAAAAGAGGGAGAACAAUGAAGAUGAAUGUGUACUAAGAAUGAAUGUCAAUCAUAGUCUCUUCUCUUAGCUUUUAUUGUAUGCCUUUUAUGGCACAUUAUUUUAAAUUCAUAUUCAUGACAUGGGCGACUGAGUUGAUUCAUAUCAUUUCUGAAAAAAAAAAAAAAAAGAAGUCAUAUUAGGGUGCUGUGGAGCCCCGGCAUCUACAAAAGAACUCUAUUUUAUUUUAUUUUAUCUAAUAAAAUAAAAGAAAGAAAGCAUACCGACCCCUAUAGAUUAGAUAGGAAUCUUAGAUUGAUUUGUCAAAAAGUCGGGCAAAUUUAACGUCAAAAGAAAGAGAAAAGAGGACAAAUAAAAAGGUAUGCAGCCUUUUCAACUCUGGCUUUCGUCGACGCUGAGACCUUAAGGAAAAAAAAAAGGGAAAAGAAACUUUUGUCACACACUAAUCUAACCAAUCAAAUGACUGUUAUGAGAGUUUUUUACUUGGACAAACAAGAUUGUGAAUUGAUUUCCGAAAAGUUUAAAACCUUUUAAUAAAACCAAGUGAAAAACUAUUCACUCCUACAAGAAAAAUAAUUAUUCUUCUAUUUUUCUCUCUUUAAUUGGAAUGACGGGACUAUAACAGUACUGAAAAAUGAGAAGAAAAAAGGAAGGAAAUUCCAAAAUAUUUGAGGUGGGUAACAACUAACACCAUUUGACAGCCUUUCGGUUGGAAGCUUGUGAGCUUCUUUGGCUGACAUUUCAGCUUCAACUUCAACAUCAAUGUUUCCCAAACCCUGCUGAAAGAAAAGAAACUACACCCACUACACAAAAAGCAAAGAAAGCAACCCACACAGCCAUCCCCACCCCACCCCACCCCACCCACAUCCACACCUCAAGGUCCUAGCGAGGGAUCUCUACAGGGUAAAGUGACUUGUUUUCCCCAGAGUAAACUCACCCAAAGAUGUCUUCUACUUUAUCUUAAAUAGUUCCAUCACAUCAUGGCCCGAGUCACGGCCACAACAACUUAGAAAUAUCUCUUCCAAUCAUCCAAAUGCACAAAACAAGAACAUGACAGACGACAAAAAAAAGGUAGGCAGAUUGAAGAAAUUAUAUGCCCCAGUCACAAAAUCCUCCCAAAAAUUAUGAAACGAUUCCCCUUUUCAUUUUGGUUAGUAAUAGAUCAACAAAAAGGGGAGGGAAAAAAACAGGGUUGUGUCAGUCACCAUCAUGUACAAUGCUUCUCAAUCGUAUUCUUUCAGGUCAUAAGUUGAUAAUUACAAAAUUCAGUGGCUAAGACCCCUCCAUUUCCCAUGUUAACAACUAUAGGCUUCUAUAUGAUUUUUCCCUUCAUCAUGGACAGAGUUGUAAACUCUGGUUUUGGAACUCAGAAGGACAAGAACUUUAUCCAGCAGUCAAUAAUAUCUUGGACGAGGAGGAGCAUACCCUCCAGGAUGCUGCAUAUCAGUGGGGAAAUUUCCAUAAGAGGGCCUUACAAGAGGAGCUCCAUAAGGUGAACCUGAAAACAUAUAUAAUAAUCACUCAAUUCUUGUGUGGGAGCAACAAAAUAACCAAUCAAAAGACAGAUUAAUAACAAAAAGUUAAUAACAUAGGAAACAAAGUGAUUAAGGCAAUCAUCACUGGAACAUUAGAUAACAACGGUUUUCGAAAUGAAACAUGAUACACAUCAUGAGAUAUCAAGCUACUCUUUGUAAAAUUUUUACCUACAAAUGAAUAUUAUAAACAACUAAAUCACAUGUACAAUUUGGAACCUUGAAGUGAUCAAUUUCAAUUUCUGGGAUCCUAAGCAACGAAAGAAGUUUCCAAUUGAUGUAGUAGUACAAGUAUUGUAAGCCAUGAAGUCAUGUAAUGACACAGUACAGCAAAAGUAAAAAAGGACCGGUUAAUCCUACCUAAAAGACUAGGUUUGCUCCCUUUGAAAGUUUUUCUACGAUGCAUACUUCACCUAUUAAGAAAAAGCGUCCUUAAAGGACUAGAUUAGCAUAAUGCUUAAUGAACCAAACCACCAGUGCAGCAACAACAACAACAACAACCCAAAAAAAAAAAAAAGGAAGGAAAAAUUGGAAAUUUAUGCCUGAAUUUGUUUCACAUUAUUUCCAAAAGGCCAAGUAAUUCAAGUAUAAAAGUGUAUGCUUCUUUCAUAAAUGAAAGAGUUUCUUCCACCCAAAAUCUAUUGCUUUUUCCAGCUACAAUUGUAAAAAAAAUGUAGGGCAAUAAAAAAACAAUACUUUGAAAAGUGAGUGUAGCCAACUGAGGCUAUUGCCAUUGGCACAAUAAAAAAGGAAUAAGAAUUAGAAAUGGAUGAAUUAAUCAGAAGAGACUAACACAGAUCCAGGAUUAGCUCAGGAAAAGUUCUCUACGACAGGCCCUGUGCAAUACAGGCCAGUUUUACUGCAUCAGUAAUGUGAAGGGCUCUACCAGUGACAAGAGAAAGGCCAAAAGGAUGAGGACUGCAGUGUGACAAGGCAUUUAAGUGUAUGAUGGUGUAGGUCUAAAUAAAAUCAAAUGAUGAAAAAGGAUUUGAGUGUGAAUACCAGGCACAUAUAACUUAAGGCUUUCAUGAACUGAAUUGGUUGAGAUGUGCUAUUUCUAAGUUAUUCCUAGAAGCAUGGAUGAAUCUUUUAAGCCACAGGUUGUUCAACUAUUUUAAAACAAUUCCAUCUACUUUAAAACAUUCCCUAAUUGAAUAUGACUUCCAAAAACCAAAAUUGUUUCUAACAAUAAAUGAUAUCUAAUUUCCAGAGUGGCUGCCAUGACUACACAUAACCAACCCACUACAAACUAAACAGAGUGUUAAAAUCAGAUAUCACAUACAGCAAAUAAAGAGUUAAAAUACCUACCAUAUGACAUUUGGGAAGGAGUAGGCAGAUUUCUAGGGUCUCUUGGUACUAGCUGAUUAGCUCCAAAGCCUCCAGGGACACUACCAUGUCCACCAAGGGUGUUGUGUGAAAAUAAAGACGUCCUCAUACUUUCAGCUUGGGUUUCAUAAUGAUUCACUCCUUCAACAUUAUAUUUAUCAUGGGAUUCAACCAUUCCACUCACAUAAGGGUCUGUAGCACCCAUGGGAAUAGGAUUCCUGCUUUCAAGGUUGGUUCUUCUGUAGGGGUCAACCAUCCCAAAGCUCUGGUAACUGGCCAUACCAACCCCAGGAAUGGAACCUCUGGAGUUAUCAUACCCAUAAGUCCCAUAGCUAUUGGAAUCAUUUCUAGAAAGAAAAUUUCUACUGUAACCUAAGGAGGUUUCAUACGGAGCGUCUCUUGGCAUAAACGGAUUUUGAUUGUCUUGGUACGCUCUGGGAAAUGGUUCCACUCUUCCAUGUAGUGCAACCCCCUGAUGACCUGAGUUCAUCUGCAGCAUUUAAGCAUAGGUUAUGAAACAGUAAGAGUAACAUCCUCCAAAAUAACAUAAAAAAAAAUGAUCAAGUGAAUACAUUGGAAGCCUAAAUAUGUAACCAAAAUGACAACUACAAAAGUUGACAUAAAUUUCAGCUUUGUGAAAAAGCAAAGCUGAUAGAUCCUGAUUACAAAUUUGAAAGGCAGGGGUGAAAUGGGAAAAUUUCACUCACAUGAGCAGGCCUUUGGUAAUAAUAGUUCUGAGGGAGAGGAGGAUGAUAACUCAGGCUACGUUCAUCAGGGACUGAACCAAAGGGAAACAUCAUCAGAAAUAUACAUAGGACUAAUUUCCAAUUUUGAAAUGAAGUAAGGCUAAACAAAAACCUGAUGGAGCCCCUUGAUUUUGCAGUGAAGAGCUAUUAUAUGACUGGAGAGAACUUUCCUGAGAAUAAGGUGAAAAGUUGCUUUUCAAGUUCAAAUGGGAUGCAGUUCCUAAGGCACGCUUCAUCUCUUCCAAACAUUUUUGUGCUUCUCCUCUGUUCAGUUCUGGAAACAGAACCUUAUGCAGGAGAUCACAGCAUUAGCUGCUAUUAUUAUCAAUGGCAUGUGUAAAUGGAUUUUCAGAUCUUGGAUGACACUUACCUGAUCAAAAUCCUCAUCUGAACCAGGCAUGUCCUUACUUCUAGGCAAGACAUAAUUGGCUGUCAGAAGCACAGUAAAACCAGGAAUUGUUAGAGAGAACUUAUAAAUUGGAAAAGGCAACCAAAGAACUAUUCAAAGGAAAAACUAACAUAAACAUUAGCAGAAUACCAAUCAUUUCAUUUACUGCAUCAGCUGGUACCUCCUUUCCCAUUUCUUUAAAUCUUUUUUCAGCACGAAACUUAAGCUCUUCUGGCUUUGGAAAGAGCACAACAGCAAUCUGAUUUGGAGCCAUGUUAUUCAUGAAUGUCACAGUAACUUUAAAACAAAUAAUCUAAUUUUAAUCCUUCAUUUAGAGAUACAGAAUGAUAUUAUGUAGCUACCUUCUGAAAAUUUGCAAAUGGUUUCAGUUUACGUUUACGUGCAUUCUUGUAAACAUUUGUUUGAUCAAUAAUGUAGUUGUGAGGUGUCUUCGAAGCUCUGGACAGUAACGUAUUAAAUAUUCCAGUUGCUCGGUCCAUUAGACGCUCAAAUCGUUCACCAUAAUUCUGCUUACGCAGUAGCCCUGGUACCUGUAGAAAGACUUAACUUGUGUCAAGCAGUAAGAAAUGACAAUAAUGAAUAGCAAAGUCAAAACAACUCUUGGAAGUCCAGCUGGCCCUCUUAAAGACUCAACAGAAAAGACAAGCAGAAACCUUCAUUUGAUCCAGAGCCAGAUUUGUUCCAAGUAAAACAUAUCGCUUCUCAGCAUGCUCUUUCACCCAUUUCUCUGCCCAAGUGGACUUUCCAGAAGCAGGUAAUCCUACCAUCAUCAUCACUUCACAAUCUCUUGGGCUAGAAAAAGAAGGUCCCAUUAUUGCAUUUCCAUCAUAAAGUGCAGAAGCCCAAGGCUUAUAGCCUUCUUCAGGAACAAGUCCCUCUUCAGUACUGAACUGGACUUGAACCAUUACAUUUUUCAACAAAACAUGAGGAAAGAGAGCUGAUUCCCAAUGCAGCUGCCUCAUUGGAGAAUCCACAACCCCAAGACCCUUUACACCCGCAUCAAAUUCCUUUGCAACACCCAACCAUUUCCCAUUUUUGGAGAAACUGAUGGAAGCCAAAGGUUUAGUUUCAAGAUUUACAGCACAUACAAUUGUAUCCCCAACCCCAAACUUUUCACCAUAAUUUGAAAAUUUUCCAGCAACUGAAAAUUUUCCUGUGCCACCAAACCCAAAGCUGUGCUCUGUUUCCCCAAGGUUUCCCAC
This 38832-nucleotide long non-coding RNA is filed under the name Vitis vinifera (wine grape). RNAcentral's name for it is "long non-coding RNA (VVIN_LNC007203)". The stretch from base 27088 to 27238 matches the Rfam family "5.8S ribosomal RNA". Lineage: Eukaryota; Viridiplantae; Streptophyta; Magnoliopsida; Vitales; Vitaceae. The record is from RNAcentral.